GAUGAACGCUGGCGGCGUACCUAAUACAUGCGAGUCGAGCGAACAGAUGAGGAGCUUGCUCCUCUGACGUUAGCGGCGGACGGGUGAGUAACACGUGGAUAACCUACCUAUAAGACUGGGAUAACUUCGGGAAACCGGAGCUAAUACCGGAUAAUAUAUUGAACCGCAUGGUUCAAUAGUGAAAGACGGUUUUGCUGUCACUUAUAGAUGGAUCCGCGCCGCAUUAGCUAGUUGGUAAGGUAACGGCUUACCAAGGCAACGAUGCGUAGCCGACCUGAGAGGGUGAUCGGCCACACUGGAACUGAGACACGGUCCAGACUCCUACGGGAGGCAGCAGUAGGGAAUCUUCCGCAAUGGGCGAAAGCCUGACGGAGCAACGCCGCGUGAGUGAUGAAGGUCUUCGGAUCGUAAAACUCUGUUAUUAGGGAAGAACAAAUGUGUAAGUAACUAUGCACGUCUUGACGGUACCUAAUCAGAAAGCCACGGCUAACUACGUG
This 497-nucleotide ribosomal RNA is filed under the name uncultured bacterium. Its description in RNAcentral is "partial 16S ribosomal RNA". It matches the Rfam family "Bacterial small subunit ribosomal RNA", at positions 28 to 507 of the family's 1533-position model. The record is from RNAcentral.